AAUUUAGUCUCGACUCUGAUCUUAAUUUGAACGUAAAACUAGUGGGAAGCACACUGCACUUGUUUACCAUAUCUCAGGAAAAUAUUUUUUUUUUUAUUUGAAAAAAAUUCCAAAACAAAGUCUGCCAAUUACUUUUCUUUCACAAACUAUGUUUGAGCAAACAAAUGCUUCUGUUGAAAUCGAGAACUAAAUUUCACCACAUGACCAGGAUCUCAACUAAUGAACUCAGACUCGGCAUAAACGUAAACAGCAAGAGAAUACUGAUUCUGGAGAUUCACGUGCAAGAGUUUGCAUUAGGCUCUUCAAAAUGUUGAGUGGAACAGAAAAUCAUUAAAUCAAGUUAGCAAAUAGGGAAGCUGUGGAGAACAGUGAUGGGAUUGUCUAAAUAAAACACUAUGACAUGGAUCAUAAAGGGAGCCAAAUAGAAACAUGCUCCAUGUUGCUGGUUUUCUUCGUACGAUGCUAACAUACACUGCCCAGGAUGAAUCAAGGUGUCAUCUUUGAAACGAAAAAAGACUGUAAAAAGAGGCCGCGGAAGCUACCAAGAAUAGAAGAAAAUUACACCACCAAUCCACCAUUAAAGAAUCCACCUG
Molecule: long non-coding RNA, 593 nt
Filed under: Nicotiana benthamiana
Lineage: Eukaryota; Viridiplantae; Streptophyta; Magnoliopsida; Solanales; Solanaceae
Description: long non-coding RNA (NBEN_LNC002760)
Source: RNAcentral